Molecule: transfer RNA, 72 nt
Filed under: Saccoglossus kowalevskii
Lineage: Eukaryota; Metazoa; Hemichordata; Enteropneusta; Harrimaniidae
Description: tRNA-Cys
Rfam family: tRNA
About the family: Transfer RNA (tRNA) molecules are approximately 80 nucleotides in length. Their secondary structure includes four short double-helical elements and three loops (D, anti-codon, and T loops).
Source: RNAcentral
GGGGAUAUAGCUCAGUGGUAGAGCAUUCGACUGCAUAUCUGGAGGUCCCUGGUUCGAACCCGGGUGUCCCCU